GCCGUGAAUGUCAAGUUCCAGUAAGGAUAAUAUAUUGGUCAGCUCACAAGUCACAAGAGGAGGGGUACGUGGCACCAAUACUUGCUUAUCUUCUUAUGUCGAUGACAGCUGAAAGCCCCUUCCCUGAUAUGAAUGCAGAAAGCCACGACCCACAGAAACACAACACAAUCCCGCUGGAAAACGAUAACCCUAAAAGUAAAAUCCAAUAAAUUAAUAAUUACAAAUAAUAACAUACAGACCCAAGUGAUCUCACAUGAUCUUUGUAAUGCUGGAGGGAUCAUCUACUUAAUCUGUAUUUUAUAAUUAUAUGACGCGUUUGUUGAUAGUUGAAUUAUUACUUAAGUGUUUGAUUAACAUACUUAUUUCUUAUUGGUCAUAAAUUACAUGAUUUAUAAAUGUCAUGUAAAAAUAUGAUUUAUAUAACAUUUUUUUCUUCUGUAAAUAGAAAUAGAAUUAUUAUUCAUCAAUUAAUUAAUUAAAAUAUUUUAUCAUGCAUGCAAUGCAUGGUCAUGGAUGUUGGGUAGGUACAAAAUUAUUUUACAUAUAUAAAUACAGACAAAUCUAAACUAAAAUAUCAGAUUUAUCAGAUUAAUAAGGGAGGGAGAGGGAUUGGAGUUGAAAACUUAUUGAAUCUUGAUGAUGACAAUAUGUUGAGUUUCUGAAAGAAGGGACACGUACCCAUGUUGAUAAACUGAGGACGGCACCGAAUCC
Molecule: long non-coding RNA, 711 nt
Filed under: Malus domestica (apple)
Lineage: Eukaryota; Viridiplantae; Streptophyta; Magnoliopsida; Rosales; Rosaceae
Description: long non-coding RNA (MDOM_LNC005375)
Source: RNAcentral